Molecule: non-coding RNA, 48 nt
Organism: Schistosoma mansoni
Lineage: Eukaryota; Metazoa; Platyhelminthes; Trematoda; Strigeidida; Schistosomatidae
Source: Rfam
AUCCAGUUGACGAGUCCGAAAUAGAACGAAACGCAUGUCAAACUGGAU